RNAcentral lists this ribosomal RNA (1384 nucleotides) under Salmonella enterica subsp. enterica. Its description in RNAcentral is "partial 23S ribosomal RNA". It matches the Rfam family "Bacterial large subunit ribosomal RNA", at positions 591 to 1874 of the family's 2925-position model. Lineage: Bacteria; Pseudomonadati; Pseudomonadota; Gammaproteobacteria; Enterobacterales; Enterobacteriaceae. The record is from RNAcentral. RNAcentral also lists the same sequence under 1 other name.
GUGUGACUGCGUACCUUUUGUAUAAUGGGUCAGCGACUUAUAUUCUGUAGCAAGGUUAACCGUAUAGGGGAGCCGUAGGGAAACCGAGUCUUAACCGGGCGUUAAGUUGCAGGGUAUAGACCCGAAACCCGGUGAUCUAGCCAUGGGCAGGUUGAAGGUUGGGUAACACUAACUGGAGGACCGAACCGACUAAUGUUGAAAAAUUAGCGGAUGACCUGUGGCUGGGGGUGAAAGGCCAAUCAAACCGGGAGAUAGCUGGUUCUCCCCGAAAGCUAUUUAGGUAGCGCCUCGUGAAUUCAUCUCCGGGGGUAGAGCACUGUUUCGGCUAGGGGGCCAUCCCGGCUUACCAACCCGAUGCAAACUGCGAAUACCGGAGAAUGUUAUCACGGGAGACACACGGCGGGUGCUAACGUCCGUCGUGAAGAGGGAAACAACCCAGACCGCCAGCUAAGGUCCCAAAGUCAUGGUUAAGUGGGAAACGAUGUGGGAAGGCCCAGACAGCCAGGAUGUUGGCUUAGAAGCAGCCAUCAUUUAAAGAAAGCGUAAUAGCUCACUGGUCGAGUCGGCCUGCGCGGAAGAUGUAACGGGGCUAAACCAUGCACCGAAGCUGCGGCAGCGAACGUAUCACCCAAGACAACUUUACGGAGUUGACGAUUGACGGAGCGAAGCGACGUCAAAGCGUUCAUUAAAGUCGAGUUGGCUUAGGGAUACGUUCGUUGGGUAGGGGAGCGUUCUGUAAGCCUGUGAAGGUGUGUCGUGAGGCAUGCUGGAGGUAUCAGAAGUGCGAAUGCUGACAUAAGUAACGAUAAAGCGGGUGAAAAGCCCGCUCGCCGGAAGACCAAGGGUUCCUGUCCAACGUUAAUCGGGGCAGGGUGAGUCGACCCCUAAGGCGAGGCCGAAAGGCGUAGUCGAUGGGAAACGGGUUAAUAUUCCCGUACUUGGUGUUACUGCGAAGGGGGGACGGAGAAGGCUAUGUUGGCCGGGCGACGGUUGUCCCGGUUUAAGCGUGUAGGUGUGUGUUCCAGGUAAAUCCGGUUCACUUUAACACUGAGGCGUGACGACGAGGCACUACGGUGCUGAAGCAACAAAUGCCCUGCUUCCAGGAAAAGCCUCUAAGCAUCAGGUAACACGAAAUCGUACCCCAAACCGACACAGGUGGUCAGGUAGAGAAUACCAAGGCGCUUGAGAGAACUCGGGUGAAGGAACUAGGCAAAAUGGUGCCGUAACUUCGGGAGAAGGCACGCUGACACGUAGGUGAAGUGAUUUACUCAUGGAGCUGAAGUCAGUCGAAGAUACCAGCUGGCUGCAACUGUUUAUUAAAAACACAGCACUGUGCAAACACGAAAGUGGACGUAUACGGUGUGACGCCUGCCCGGUGCCGGAA